Molecule: ribosomal RNA, 1351 nt
Filed under: uncultured bacterium
Lineage: Bacteria
Description: bacterial SSU rRNA
Rfam family: Bacterial small subunit ribosomal RNA
Source: RNAcentral
GAUGAACGCUAGCGGCAGGCUUAACACAUGCAAGUCGAGGGGUAACACGGGUGCUUGCACUUGGUGACGACCGGCGAACGGGUGCGUAACGCGUAUAGAAUCUGCCUUACACAGGAGGAUAGCCUUUAGAAAUGAAGAUUAAUACUCCAUAGUAUUAUUAGAUGGCAUCGUUUAAUAAUUAAAGAUUUAUUGGUGUAAGAUGACUAUGCGUCCUAUUAGCUAGAUGGUAAGGUAACGGCUUACCAUGGCUACGAUAGGUAGGGGGUCUGAGAGGAUUAUCCCCCACACUGGUACUGAGACACGGACCAGACUCCUACGGGAGGCAGCAGUGAGGAAUAUUGGACAAUGGGCGAGAGCCUGAUCCAGCCAUGCCGCGUGCAGGAAGACUGCCCUAUGGGUUGUAAACUGCUUUUAUAUAGGAAGAAACGAGUCUACGAGUAGAUUUUUGACGGUACUAUAUGAAUAAGCACCGGCUAACUCCGUGCCAGCAGCCGCGGUAAUACGGAGGGUGCAAGCGUUAUCCGGAAUCAUUGGGUUUAAAGGGUCCGCAGGCGGUCGAUUAAGUCAGGGGUGAAAUCUCUCAGCUUAACUGAGAAACUGCCUUUGAUACUGGUUGACUUGAGUUAUAAGGAAGUAGAUAGAAUAAGUAGUGUAGCGGUGAAAUGCAUAGAUAUUACUUAGAAUACCGAUUGCGAAGGCAGUCUACUACUUAUAUACUGACGCUCAUGGACGAAAGCGUGGGGAGCGAACAGGGUUAGAUACCCUGGUAGUCCACGCCGUAAACGAUGGACACUAGUUGUUGGGCUUAUGGUUCAGUGACUAAGCGAAAGUGAUAAGUGUCCCACCUGGGGAGUACGUUCGCAAGAAUGAAACUCAAAGGAAUUGACGGGGGCCCGCACAAGCGGUGGAGCAUGUGGUUUAAUUCGAUGAUACGCGAGGAACCUUACCAGGGCUUAAAUGUAGAGUGACAGGUCUAGAGAUAGAUUUUUCUUCGGACACUUUACAAGGUGCUGCAUGGUUGUCGUCAGCUCGUGCCGUGAGGUGUCAGGUUAAGUCCUAUAACGAGCGCAACCCCUAUCGUUAGUUGCUAACAGGUCAAGCUGAGGACUCUAGCGAGACUGCCGGUGCAAACCGUGAGGAAGGUGGGGAUGACGUCAAAUCAUCACGGCCCUUACGUCCUGGGCUACACACGUGCUACAAUGGUAUGGACAAUGAGCAGCCACUUUGCGAGAAGGAGCGAAUCUAUAAACCAUAUCACAGUUCGGAUCGAAGUCUGCAACUCGACUUCGUGAAGCUGGAAUCGCUAGUAAUCGGAUAUCAGCCAUGAUCCGGUGAAUACGUUCCCGGGCCU